Molecule: long non-coding RNA, 1206 nt
Filed under: Homo sapiens (human)
Lineage: Eukaryota; Metazoa; Chordata; Mammalia; Primates; Hominidae
Description: non-protein coding MIR583HG:41
Source: RNAcentral
AGAGUUUUGCCAGAAACCCUUGAGUCUGGAGUGGUACGGCUGGAGUCCAGAUUGCAGUCUGUGGAGGAGUGGACAGGAGGCAACAAAAGCAAAUAUCGAAAAGGAGUAGAACAGUUGGAAUUUAUAAUCUUCCUUCUGAACUAACAGGCCAUGGCUGCCAGUGUAUUCUUUUUCCCAGAUCUUGACAAUCAACAGCUCAGCAAGGGGAACAUUUUAUAUUUGCAUCCUGAAAGGAUGGCAGACCCAGGCUUUUAGCAGACCCAAGUAAGGAGAGCUAAGACAAUGAGAGAAUGUGUGGCGGCAGAAUUCUCUCAGCCUGUGAAGCCCAGGAUUCCUGCCUGGAUCCUACAAGUUGGAUUGGACUGCUCCACUGGAUGAAGAUAUUAGUGUUGCAAAUCCAUCAGGGAUUUAUUCACUCUAGAAAGUUUUUAUAUAGUGGAAAAUAUAAUGGAGGAUGUUUCAUUUUUCUAGAAUAUCCAUUUUCCUUUUGUUUCAGUAUAUCAGGAAGCACUGCCCGAUACUUGUCAGUCUCUCUUUAGUGUUAGGUUUCUGAUGUAUUGUCCCUCCCCAUGAUCCUUUUCCCCGAGAAACAGGGACAGAUACUGGAUUUUGAAUGCUCCUGCUUGGGGCAGGCAUCCCUUCCUGGAUCACAGCCUGGCCUGGCCUUGUUGUGCAGCAGGCUGGUGGGGUUGCUGGGAUACCCAGGGGUGACUCUGACAGUGCUCUGGUGGAUUGAGGUGAUUAGUUACAGCCAACUGCUUGUUUUCAGGGAUUUAUUCCAUUUUCCUACUUUGUCAGCAUCAUCUAAUUGGGGAUCAGAUGCUUUCAGUCAGCAUCCUUUGCAGUGCAAGGAGCUCCAAAAAUCUUUUUUUUUUUUUUUUUUUUUUAACUCUGGGAAUAUGCCCAGGCCUGAAUAAAUAAAUUUCCCCUCUUCGCACUGAAGGAAGUAUAUGACUUUUAAAGGAGUAGGUGAACACAUAGGUGUUUUUCUUUUAAACACAGAAUGCAACACUGUUUUGUAACAGUGGAGGAAGUAGGAAUGAAUAUAUAUUUCGAGGAUUAUAAACCAGUGCAUAGCCUUCUGGAGGCAAUUUUGUUAUGUUUAUCAAUAUUUAAAAUGCACAUACUCUUGAGGGAGGAAUUUUACUUCUGAGAAUGUAUCCCAAAAGUAUACUAGCAUAUGUGAUCAAGGAAGAAUGUACAAGG